CCAAAUUACGUAUGCGUGUCCACCAACUUGAAGGUUAUUCAUUUGUUUUGGAGUUAACGAACGCCUCACACGAUUCCAUCAAACCUCAGCUGCCGUCCGUCUGUCUUUCUUCUACCUUUCAUCUCUUAGCGGUUAGCAGUAGCACUAAAUAAACUGGCAUCUCCCCUCUCUAUCUCAGAACUUGACAUGGAGGCAUGGUGCGACUAUAAAGCUGAACCAUAACUUCUAUACAGUAGCUUCAGUAGUUCAUGUUGACUUCUAAUGACAAAUAACACCAAAAAUGGCACUCUAGUAUCAGUUGAUAAUGCAUUUGGGAAGCUUCCUGAUCAUCUACUGGUAGAAAUUUUCAUUAGAGUUCCCAUCUCAGAAUGGAGCCAAAUAUCAUGCGUCAAGAAGCAGUGGGC
Non-coding RNA from Jatropha curcas, 404 nucleotides. Lineage: Eukaryota; Viridiplantae; Streptophyta; Magnoliopsida; Malpighiales; Euphorbiaceae. The record is from RefSeq and is a predicted model, not a curated record.